GGAUUAGGCAUGCAAGUCGAACGAGAGCCCGUUUCGAUGGGCGAAAGUGGCGAAAGGGUGAGUAAUGCAUAGACAACCCACCUUCGACUCCGGGAUAACUGGGAGAAAUCACAGCUAAUACCGGAUAGGUUCGUUGGGACUCAUGUUCCGACGAGUAAAGGAGGCCUCUCAACGAUGCUCCUGGUUGAAGACGGGUCUAUGUCCUAUCAGCUUGUUGGUGAGGUAACGGCUCACCAAGGCGAUAACGGGUAGCCGACCUGAGAGGGUGACCGGCCACACUGGGACUGAGACACUGCCCAGACUCCUACGGGAGGCUGCAGUCGAGAAUCUUCCGCAAUGGGGGCAACCCUGACGGAGCGACGCCGCGUGCGGGAUGAAGGCCUUCGGGUUGUAAACCGCUGUCACAGGUUAAGAACCGGUCUAGUGUCAAUAGCGCUAGGCCCUGACAAAGGCCUGAGAGGAAGCCACGGCUAACUUCGUGCCAGCAGCCGCGGUAAGACGAAGGUGGCAACCGUUGUUCGGAAUCACUGGGCAUAAAGCGCACGUAGGCGGGAGUGCAAGUCGGGUGUGAAAUCCCUCGGCCCAACCGAGGAACUGCGCCCGAAACUGCACUUCUUGAGGACAGCAGGGGAGCAUGGAAUUCCUGGUGGAGCGGUGAAAUGCGUUGAUAUCAGGAGGAACACCGGCGGCGAAGGCGAUGCUCUGGGCUGUUUCUGACGCUGAGGUGCGAAAGCCAGGGGAGCAAACGGGAUUAGAUACCCCGGUAGUCCUGGCCGUAAACGAUGGGCACUAAGUAGAGGGGUUUU
Molecule: ribosomal RNA, 806 nt
Filed under: uncultured Planctomycetota bacterium
Lineage: Bacteria; Pseudomonadati; Planctomycetota
Description: bacterial SSU rRNA
Rfam family: Bacterial small subunit ribosomal RNA
Source: RNAcentral